UUGACUAGACACCAAUCCUGACAGGUGGUC
RNAcentral lists this non-coding RNA (30 nucleotides) under Rattus norvegicus (Norway rat). Lineage: Eukaryota; Metazoa; Chordata; Mammalia; Rodentia; Muridae. The record is from RNAcentral.